This 394-nucleotide long non-coding RNA is filed under the name Gallus gallus (chicken). The record is from RNAcentral. Lineage: Eukaryota; Metazoa; Chordata; Aves; Galliformes; Phasianidae.
GUUUAUUUCUUCCUGUGUUGAUUUUAAAGACUUGAUUAUCGUUUCAAGCUGCACUUUUCCAGCCUGGAUACUCUGCUCUAACUGUGUCUCUUCUUGCUGGAGGCGAUUCAGCUCUGCUUUUGCUCUAUUAAGAUCAUCUUCCUGUGACUUUAGAUCUGAUUCCUGAGAUUGAAUCUGCAUUUUCAGUGAUGAAAUCACCUGUGUUUCCUCCUGGCAUUUCUGCCUUACAUCAUUCAGCAUAUCCUUCAGUUUGGCUUUCUGUUGGUCCAUUUCAUCCAGGCGGUCCUGGGCAUCUUGUUUCUGAGCCUCAAGUUCUUGCAAGUUACUUGUCUCCCUAUCUAAAUCAUUUUGCAGUUCCUGAACUUCAUUCGUUUUCUGUCUAAUUGAGUCUUCC